AUUGAACGCUGGCGGAAUGCUUUACACAUGCAAGUCGAACGGCAGCACGGACUUCGGUCUGGUGGCGAGUGGCGAACGGGUGAGUAAUACAUCGGAACGUGCCCAGUCGUGGGGGGUAACGUAGCGAAAGCUACGCUAAUACCGCAUACGAUCUAAGGAUGAAAGCGGGGGAUCGCAAGACCUCGCGCGAUUGGAGCGGCCGAUGGCAGAUUAGGUAGUUGGUGGGGUAAAGGCUCACCAAGCCGACGAUCUGUAGCUGGUCUGAGAGGACGACCAGCCACACUGGGACUGAGAAACGGCCCAGACUCCUACGGGAGGCAGCAGUGGGGAAUUUUGGACAAUGGGCGCAAGCCUGAUCCAGCCAUUCCGCGUGCAGGAUGAAGGCCCUCGGGUUGUAAACUGCUUUUGUACGGAACGAAAAGGCUCUGGUUAAUACCCGGGGCUCAUGACGGUACCGUAAGAAUAAGCACCGGCUAACUACGUGCCAGCCGCCGCUGUAA
This 500-nucleotide ribosomal RNA is filed under the name uncultured bacterium. RNAcentral describes it as "partial 16S ribosomal RNA". It matches the Rfam family "Bacterial small subunit ribosomal RNA", at positions 30 to 523 of the family's 1533-position model. The record is from RNAcentral.